UACGGAGGAUGCAAGCGUUAUCCGGAAUGAUUGGGCGUAAAGCGUCCGCAGGUGGCUGUGUAAGUCUGCUGUUAAAGAGUCUAGCUCAACUAGAUACAAGCAGUGGAAACUACACGGCUAGAGUACGUUCGGGGCAGAGGGAACUCCUGGUGUAGCGGUGAAAUGCGUAGAGAUCAGGAAGAACACCGGUGGCGAAGGCGCUCUGCUAGGCCGUAACUGACACUGAGGGACGAAAGCUAGGGGAGCGAAUGGG
Molecule: ribosomal RNA, 253 nt
Filed under: uncultured bacterium
Lineage: Bacteria
Description: partial 16S ribosomal RNA
Rfam family: Bacterial small subunit ribosomal RNA
Source: RNAcentral